AUUCCUAAGGCAAUAUGGCGCCCGUCAUAUUGCCGGCAGCAAGCGAAGGUGCCAUUGGUACCCGUGAUAUGGUCGGGCUGACCAUAUCACGUUCUUUUUUU
RNAcentral lists this non-coding RNA (101 nucleotides) under Photobacterium proteolyticum. RNAcentral describes it as "Translational regulator of tfoXVC". It matches the Rfam family "Translational regulator of tfoXVC". Lineage: Bacteria; Pseudomonadati; Pseudomonadota; Gammaproteobacteria; Vibrionales; Vibrionaceae. The record is from Rfam by way of RNAcentral.